GUCCCAGUUCGGAUUGUAGUCUGCAACCCGACUACAUGAAGCUGGAAUCGCUAGUAAUCGCGGAUCAGAAUGUCGCGGUGAAUACGUUCCCGGGUCUUGUACACACCGCCCGUCACACCAUGGGAGUUGGGAAUGCCCGAAGCCGGUGACCUAACCGAAAGGGAGGAGCCGUCGAAGGCAGGCUUGAUAACUGGGGUGAAGUCGUAACAAGGUAAC
Molecule: ribosomal RNA, 216 nt
Filed under: uncultured bacterium
Lineage: Bacteria
Description: partial 16S ribosomal RNA
Rfam family: Bacterial small subunit ribosomal RNA
Source: RNAcentral